UGGGGAAUUUUGCGCAAUGGGGGAAACCCUGACGCAGCAGCGCCGCGUGAGUGAUGAAGGCCUUCGGGUCGUAAAGCUCUGUCAGAGGGGAAGAAAUGCAGGGGUGCUAAUAUCAUCUUUGCUUGACGGUACCCUCAAAGGAAGCACCGGCUAACUCCGUGCCAGCAGCCGCGGUAAUACGGAGGGUGCGAGCGUUGUUCGGAAUUAUUGGGCGUAAAGCGCGUGUAGGCGGUUUGAUAAGUCUGAUGUGAAAGCCCCGGGCUCAACCUGGGAAGUGCAUUGGAAACUGUCAGACUUGAAUACGGGAGAGGGUAGUGGAAUUCCUGGUGUAGGAGUGAAAUCCGUAGAUAUUAGGAGGAACACCGGUGGCGAAGGCGGCUACCUGGACCGAUAUUGACGCUGAGACGCGAAAGCGUGGGGAGCAAACAG
RNAcentral lists this ribosomal RNA (429 nucleotides) under uncultured bacterium. RNAcentral describes it as "bacterial SSU rRNA". It matches the Rfam family "Bacterial small subunit ribosomal RNA", at positions 355 to 775 of the family's 1533-position model. The record is from RNAcentral.